GACGAACGCUGGCGGCGCGCCUAACACAUGCAAGUCGAACGGAGUUACUCUGAAUGAAGUUUUCGGAUGGAUUUUGGAUUAACUUAGUGGCGAACGGGUGAGUAACGCGUGAGUAACCUGCCUUCAAGAGGGGAAUAACGUUCUGAAAAGAACGCUAAUACCGCAUAACAUACGGAUGUCGCAUGGCAACCGUAUCAAAGAUUUUAUCGCUUGAAGAUGGACUCGCGUCCGAUUAGCCAGUUGGCGGGUAACGGCCCACCAAAGCGACGAUCGGUAGCCGGACUGAGAGGUUGAACGGCCACAUUGGGACUGAGACACGGCCCAGACUCCUACGGGAGGCAGCAGGUGGGGGAUAUUGCGCAAUGGGGGCAACCCUGACGCAGCAACGCCGCGUGAACGAU
Molecule: ribosomal RNA, 401 nt
Filed under: uncultured bacterium
Lineage: Bacteria
Description: bacterial SSU rRNA
Rfam family: Bacterial small subunit ribosomal RNA
Source: RNAcentral